Molecule: ribosomal RNA, 253 nt
Filed under: uncultured bacterium
Lineage: Bacteria
Description: partial 16S ribosomal RNA
Rfam family: Bacterial small subunit ribosomal RNA
Source: RNAcentral
UACAGAGGGUGCAAGCGUUGUUCGGAAUUAUUGGGCGUAAAGCGCGUGUAGGCGGCAUGGCAAGUCGGGUGUGAAAGCCCUCAGCUCAACUGAGGAAGUGCGCCCGAAACUGCUUUGCUUGAGUGCUGGAGAGGGUCGCGGAAUUCCCCAAGUAGGGGUGAAAUUCGUAGAUAUGGGGAGGAACACCGGUGGCGAAGGCGGCGACCUGGACAGUAACUGACGCUGAGACGCGAAAGCGUGGGUAGCAAACAGG